Molecule: long non-coding RNA, 1293 nt
Organism: Bombus terrestris (buff-tailed bumblebee)
Lineage: Eukaryota; Metazoa; Arthropoda; Insecta; Hymenoptera; Apidae
Exons: 2
Source: RefSeq, a predicted model, not a curated record
AGGAUCAGAAAGAUGACGCGAGGGGGAGUCGAACGGCGACGUACAAAAAGCUAGUUUGUUGCCCGCUCGCCUUUUGGACGCGUCGCGUUAUUUAGUGGCGAGCCUCGUCUCAACUCGCUUAAGUGCUCCGGUGACUUACAUCCCUUUGGGGCAAGGGCGCGCUAAGGGGGCGUGACCGUGUACCGUCCCGUCAGGGAUCGGACGUAUAAUGGAAAGUUUGUCGAAAGCGGGAAAGGGCGGCUCGGAUCGCGUCCGUCGGCCUAAAUAACGAGUAGAUUUCUUCGAGUACAUAGAAGUAGAGAAACUUCUCAAAUAAAUUCGCUUGUCUUGUAUCUUAAAUAGAACUUGUCGUUUUCAAAAAUAUGGCAAUUCUUUGGAAUAUUUGAUCAUUCGAUUGUAAAGGUCGUAGAAGCAGGCGCGAAAGAGAUGCUUUAUGGAACAGUUUGUACCGAUAUCGAAUGCCUGCUCGAAUCUCGAGGGUCCUUGGUCGGAAAACAGCACGGUACCAAGUUCAGGCCGGUACUUACGAUCAACUGGCGCAGCGAAGCAUCGCUGGCGAUACAUCAUCCGGAGAGCGCUUAUCUCUCCCGGAUCUGCUAUCUCGUUGGACCCCCGUCCUAUCGAACAAUGCCUCGCACGAGAUAUACCUUGCUCGCAAGAGAUCGUGCCCGGCUGCUGUGCACCGCGACACGCUUUAUGCCAUUAAAAUUUUUCCACGACGCACACGCGAUCCUUAAAGCCCAAGAGUAACGGAAUAAAACGAGUAUCGACAGAAAUAAAAAACUUACCUUUCAAAUUUUCAACUUGUUAGGAGAAGUAAGUUUCCGAUACAGAGAACGAAGUGUUUUGUCAACUAGUGAAUUUAUGCUUGCUAAUUGUUAAUGGGUAUAUCACGGAAUAUUUUAUUCGUAAUUACACAUUUUCUGAAGCAUUGUAUAAAACAUAGGAUAUUCCACUUAAAAAAGAACAUAGUUGCCUUCAAAAAUAAUGAAAUGCUGUCAACAGCCACGAAACUAGACAGCCUUAGUACAGAACGUUUUUUAUGUGCGAGAUAAAUAAUUUCCCAUGUAGAGAUGUAUACUAACAAUUUAUACUCUCUUCUCCUAAAUCAUAACAAAGCAAUCUCUUCGAGAUAUUACUUCAAGAAUCGUUGCAAAUCGUUCAACCAAUACGAACAUUUAAGAAACCUUUCUUAACGUAUCGUAAUACCACGAAAUCUACAUGGAAAGGCUAACAAAAUAUGUCACGUAUUGCUGUAGCACAAUUUCAGAAUUACAAGUUCCUGGAUCGAAA